ACAUGCAAGAUCGAACGAUGAUGCCCAGCUUGCUGGGCGGAUUAGUGGCGAACGGGUGAGUAAUACGUGAGUAACCUGCCCUUGACUCUGGGAUAAGCCUGGGAAACUGGGUCUAAUACUGGAUACUACCUCUUACCGCAUGGUGGGUGGUGGAAAGGGUUUUACUGGUUUUGGAUGGGCUCACGGCCUAUCAGCUUGUUGGUGGGGUAAUGGCUCACCAAGGCGACGACGGGUAGCCGGCCUGAGAGGGUGACCGGCCACACUGGGACUGAGACACGGCCCAGACUCCUACGGGAGGCAGCAGUGGGGAAUAUUGCACAAUGGGCGGAAGCCUGAUGCAGCGACGCCGCGUGAGGGAUGACGGCCUUCGGGUUGUAAACCUCUUUCAGUAGGGAAGAAGCGAGAGUGACGGUACCUGCAGAAGAAGCGCCGGCUAACUACGUGCCAGCAGCCGCGGUAAUACGUAGGGCGCAAGCGUUGUCCGGAAUUAUUGGGCGUAAAGAGCUCGUAGGCGGUUUGUCGCGUCUGCUGUGAAAGCCCGGGGCUCAACCCCGGGUCUGCAGUGGGUACGGGCAGACUAGAGUGCAGUAGGGGAGACUGGAAUUCCUGGUGUAGCGGUGAAAUGCGCAGAUAUCAGGAGGAACACCGAUGGCGAAGGCAGGUCUCUGGGCUGUUACUGACGCUGAGGAGCGAAAGCAUGGGGAGCGAACAGGAUUAGAUACCCUGGUAGUCCAUGCCGUAAACGUUGGGCACUAGGUGUGGGGGACAUUCCACGUUUUCCGC
This 783-nucleotide ribosomal RNA is filed under the name Kocuria sp. LPPA 954. Its description in RNAcentral is "bacterial SSU rRNA". It matches the Rfam family "Bacterial small subunit ribosomal RNA", at positions 53 to 844 of the family's 1533-position model. Lineage: Bacteria; Bacillati; Actinomycetota; Actinomycetes; Micrococcales; Micrococcaceae. The record is from RNAcentral.